UGUCCUGUGGUGUAAUUGGCAACACGUCUGACUCUGGAUCAGAAGAGUUCAGGUUCGAGCCCUGACAGGACAA
RNAcentral lists this transfer RNA (73 nucleotides) under Bacteroidota bacterium. RNAcentral's name for it is "tRNA-Gln". It matches the Rfam family "tRNA". Rfam says of the family: Transfer RNA (tRNA) molecules are approximately 80 nucleotides in length. Their secondary structure includes four short double-helical elements and three loops (D, anti-codon, and T loops). Further hydrogen bonds mediate the characteristic L-shaped molecular structure. tRNAs have two regions of fundamental functional importance: the anti-codon, which is responsible for specific mRNA codon recognition, and the 3' end, to which the tRNAs corresponding amino acid is attached (by aminoacyl-tRNA synthetases). tRNAs cope with the degeneracy of the genetic code in two manners: having more than one tRNA (with a specific anti-codon) for a particular amino acid; and 'wobble' base-pairing, i.e. permitting non-standard base-pairing at the 3rd anti-codon position. The record is from RNAcentral. RNAcentral also lists the same sequence under 2 other names. Lineage: Bacteria; Pseudomonadati; Bacteroidota.